CGUUAAAAUACUGGUUCUCAUACGAUCACCGAAGUUUAGCAACGUUGAGCCUGGUCAAUACCUAGAUGGGUAACCACUUGGGCAUACUGGGUGCUGUAAG
Non-coding RNA from Acanthosepion pharaonis, 100 nucleotides. The record is from the annotation of a GenBank genome assembly. NCBI's taxonomy places the organism in Eukaryota, Metazoa, Mollusca, Cephalopoda, Sepiida, Sepiidae.